Molecule: unclassified non-coding RNA, 616 nt
Filed under: Speocharidius breuili
Lineage: Eukaryota; Metazoa; Arthropoda; Insecta; Coleoptera; Leiodidae
Description: partial contains 16S ribosomal RNA (rrnL) and tRNA-Leu (trnL)
Rfam family: Bacterial large subunit ribosomal RNA (bases 140-487)
Source: RNAcentral
GGCGGCAGUAUUUUAACUGCGCAAAGGUAGCAUAAUAAUUAGUUUCUUAAUUAGGAACUGGAAUGAAUGAUUGGACGAGAUAAUAACUGUCUUAAUUUAAAUUUUAGAAUUUUAUUUUUAAGUUAAAAAGCUUAAAUAGUAUUAAAAGACGAGAAGACCCUAUAGAAUUUUAUAUGAGUUUAAUAUUUUAUUAUUAGAAAUUGAAUAUAAAGGAGUUAAAUAAGUAUUUAGUUGGGGUGACUGAAAAAUUUAAUUAACUUUUUUUUAAUUUAAACAUUAAUAUAUGAGUGUUUGAUCCAAUUAUAUUGAUUAUAAGAUUAAAUUACCUUAGGGAUAACAGCGUAAUUUUUUUAGAGAGUUCUUAUCGAUAGAAGAGAUUGCGACCUCGAUGUUGGAGAAGUUAAAAUAUUAGGUCUGUUCGACCUUUAAAACUUUACAUGAUCUGAGUUUAAACCGGUGUGAGCCAGGUUGGAUUCUAUCUUUAAUAAAAUUAAAUAUUUUAGUACGAAAGGACCAAGUAUUUAUUAUAAUAAUUAUUUUUGAAUUAUAUUAUUAUUUUGGCAGAUUAGUGCUUUAAAUUUAGAAUUUAAAUAUGUAAGUGGGUUACAAGUAAUAC